RNAcentral lists this small RNA (28 nucleotides) under Bombyx mori (domestic silkworm). Its description in RNAcentral is "piRNA piR-bmo-1450490". Lineage: Eukaryota; Metazoa; Arthropoda; Insecta; Lepidoptera; Bombycidae. The record is from RNAcentral.
UGCCAAAGAUCUGCGCGAUAGAUAUGCU